RNAcentral lists this unclassified non-coding RNA (260 nucleotides) under Hevea brasiliensis (rubber tree). The record is from RNAcentral. Lineage: Eukaryota; Viridiplantae; Streptophyta; Magnoliopsida; Malpighiales; Euphorbiaceae.
GUCACCGAAACCAAGAAGUCCGAGCCGGGCGAGCGCACCGACGAUCCGGUGCGCAUGUAUCUGCGCGAAAUGGGCACCGUCGAGCUGCUGUCGCGCGAGGGCGAAAUCGCCAUCGCCAAGCGCAUCGAGGCCGGCCGCGAGGCGAUGAUCGCGGGCCUCUGCGAAAGCCCGCUGACCUUCCAGGCCAUCAUCAUCUGGCGCGACGAACUCAACGAAGGAAAGAUCUUCCUUCGCGACAUUAUCGAUCUCGAAGCGACCUA